GAUUCUAAAUUAAACUACCCUCUG
RNAcentral lists this transfer RNA (24 nucleotides) under Coregonus artedi (cisco). RNAcentral's name for it is "partial tRNA-Pro". RNAcentral also lists the same sequence under 4 other names. The record is from RNAcentral. Lineage: Eukaryota; Metazoa; Chordata; Actinopteri; Salmoniformes; Salmonidae.